Molecule: ribosomal RNA, 253 nt
Filed under: uncultured bacterium
Lineage: Bacteria
Description: partial 16S ribosomal RNA
Rfam family: Bacterial small subunit ribosomal RNA
Source: RNAcentral
UACGAAGGGUGCAAACGUCGCUCGGAAUUAUUGGGCGUAAAGCGCACGUAGGCGGCUUUGCAAGUCCCAUGUGAAAUCCCACGGCUCAACCGUGGAAGUGCAUGGGAAACUGCAGAGCUUGAGUACUUAAGAGGAUCGCGGAAUUCCCGGUGUAGAGGUGAAAUUCGUAGAUAUCGGGAGGAACACCAGUGGCGAAGGCGGCGAUCUGGGAAGAUACUGACGCUGAGGUGCGAAAGCGUGGGGAGCAAACAGG